UGGGGAAUAUUGCACAAUGAGCGCAAGCCUGAUGCAGCCAUGCCGCGUGUAUGAAGAAGGCCUUCGGGUUGUAAAGUACUUUCAGCGGGGAGGAAGGGAGUAAAGUUAAUACCUUUACUCAUCACCGUUACCCGCAGAAGAAGCACCGGCUAACUCCGUGCCAGCAGCCGCGGUAAUACGGAGGGUGCAAGCGUUAAUCGGAAUUACUGGGCGUAAAGCGCACGCAGGCGGUUUGUUAAGUCAGAUGUGGAAUCCCCGGGCUCAACCUGGGAACUGCAUCUGAUACUGGCAAGCUAGCGUCUCGUAGAGGGGGGUAGAAUUCCAGGUGUAGCGGUGACAUGCGUAGAGAUCUGGAGGAAUACCGGUGGCGAAGGCGGCCCCCUGGACGAAGACUGACGCUCAGGUGCGAAAGCGUGGGGAGCAAACAGG
RNAcentral lists this ribosomal RNA (429 nucleotides) under Chloroflexota bacterium. RNAcentral's name for it is "Chloroflexi bacterium partial 16S ribosomal RNA". It matches the Rfam family "Bacterial small subunit ribosomal RNA", at positions 355 to 776 of the family's 1533-position model. Lineage: Bacteria; Bacillati; Chloroflexota. The record is from RNAcentral.